UCCGGUUUGUCACCGGCAGUCUCCCUAGAGUGCCCUCGCGUAGCAACUAAUGACAAGGGUUGCGCUCGUUGCGGGACUUAACCCAACAUCUCACGACACGAGCUGACGACAGCCAUGCAGCACCUGUGUUCCAGUUCCCUUUCGGGCACAGCCGCCUUUCAGCAGCCUUCCGGACAUGUCAAGGGUAGGUAAGGUUUUUCGCGUUGCAUCGAAUUAAUCCACAUAAUCCACCGCUUGUGCGGGUCCCCGUCAAUUCCUUUGAGUUUUAAUCUUGCGACCGUACUCCCCAGGCGGAAUGCUUAAUGCGUUAGCUGCGCCACCGGCGGUAACCCGCCGACACUUAGUGUCCAUCGUUUAGGGCGUGGACUAC
This 370-nucleotide unclassified non-coding RNA is filed under the name uncultured Gammaproteobacteria bacterium. RNAcentral's name for it is "contains 16S-23S intergenic spacer region". The record is from RNAcentral. Lineage: Bacteria; Pseudomonadati; Pseudomonadota; Gammaproteobacteria.